CAUGUCCUAAGCUCAAUCUCUUCAAGAUUGUAUAGACACAAACAGAAGAACUCUGUUUCUCUAAUGGUUCCACAUGAUUUCAGACUCAAUUUCAUUAGCUUUCUUAGAACCGGUUAAGGAAGAUGAAGAGUUUCUUGAGCAGACAUCAGACGGAUAAGCCCUUGAGAGGAUGGAGACAAAGCAACCCAAAAAAUGGAUCCGAACCGGUAAACAAUCGAGACAUGGCUAAUCGAGUCCUCUUCCUUCCGAUGGCCUUUCCUCAGAAGUCUCC
This 271-nucleotide long non-coding RNA is filed under the name Brassica napus (rape). RNAcentral's name for it is "long non-coding RNA (BNAP_LNC016020)". Lineage: Eukaryota; Viridiplantae; Streptophyta; Magnoliopsida; Brassicales; Brassicaceae. The record is from RNAcentral.